UACGCUGGCGGCACGCCUAACACAUGCAAGUCGAACGCAGUAGCAAUACUGAGUGGCAAACGGGUGAGUAUAAUGUGGGAAUCUGCCUUUUGGUUUGGAAUAACACGGGGAAACUUGUGCUAAUACCGAAUAAGCCCUUACGGGGAAAGUUUUAACGCCGAAAGAUGAGCCCGCACUUGAUUAGCUAGUUGGUAAGGUAAAAGCUUACCAAGGCAACGAUCAAUAGCUGUUCUUAGAGGAAGACCAGCCACAUUGGGACUGAGACACGGCCCAGACUCCUACGGGAGGCAGCAGUGGGGAAUCUUGCACAAUGGGGGAAACCCUGAUGCAGCGAUGCCGCGUGAGUGAAGAAGGCCCUUGGGUUGUAAAACUCUUUCGUCGGGGAAGAAAAUGACUGUACCCGAAUAAGAAGG
This 413-nucleotide ribosomal RNA is filed under the name uncultured bacterium. RNAcentral describes it as "bacterial SSU rRNA". It matches the Rfam family "Bacterial small subunit ribosomal RNA", at positions 33 to 491 of the family's 1533-position model. The record is from RNAcentral.